This 91-nucleotide microRNA precursor is filed under the name Culex quinquefasciatus (southern house mosquito). RNAcentral describes it as "microRNA cqu-mir-309 precursor". Its record names the gene cqu-mir-309. The stretch from base 9 to 79 matches the Rfam family "mir-3 microRNA precursor family". Lineage: Eukaryota; Metazoa; Arthropoda; Insecta; Diptera; Culicidae. The record is from miRBase by way of RNAcentral.
GCGCUCGGUUUAUGCGUCAAACUCGGCUCAGUUUGGUGAACUUUGAUUUGACAUCACUGGGCAUAGUUUGUCGCAUAAUGAUUGAAAGGCA